UGGGGAAUAUUGCACAAUGGGCGCAAGCCUGAUGCAGCCAUGCCGCGUGUAUGAAGAAGGCCUUCGGGUUGUAAAGUACUUUCAGCGGGGAGGAAGGCGAUAAGGUUAAUAACCUUGUCGAUUGACGUUACCCGCAGAAGAAGCACCGGCUAACUCCGUGCCAGCAGCCGCGGUAAUAAGGAGGGUGCAAGCGUUAAUCGGAAUUACUGGGCGUAAAGCGCACGCAGGCGGUCUGUCAAGUCGGAUGUGAAAUCCCCGGGCUCAACCUGGGAACUGCAUUCGAAACUGGCAGGCUAGAGUCUUGUAGAGGGGGGUAGAAUUCCAGGUGUAGCGGUGAAAUGCGUAGAGAUCUGGAGGAAUACCGGUGGCGAAGGCGGCCCCCUGGACAAAGACUGACGCUCAGGUGCGAAAGCGUGGGGAGCAAACA
This 427-nucleotide ribosomal RNA is filed under the name uncultured bacterium. RNAcentral describes it as "partial 16S ribosomal RNA". It matches the Rfam family "Bacterial small subunit ribosomal RNA", at positions 355 to 774 of the family's 1533-position model. The record is from RNAcentral.